AGGAAUUAGUGUUAAGGUAAUUGGAGGUUUGAAGUAAAUUCUGUGACUGUGUGGACUUGGGGGUGUCUCAACAAUAGUUUUACCAAAGGGGGCGCUGUUCUCAAAAAAAGUCAUGAUUGACAGAGUUGUUAGAAUGGUAUAAAAGUCAUUUAUUUAUUAGACAAAACAAUCUUAGACAUCUGUAAAAGAAAUCUAUAUCUAACAACAUAAGUAUAUAUAAAAUGUACAUUUUGUGCAUUGCAAACUCUCAAAGAGGAAAAAAAAUUAAGAUAAAAACACAACAACAGAACUUUGAUCCACACAGACACUCGUUUUCAAAAACCCUUCAUCGUCACUUCUUUUCAGUCAUCCGUAACAAAAUUCUAAAGACGAAAAAAGAAAAACAUUUGAAAUGUUAUCAUUCGAUUGGAUUGAAUAACUUUAACAAAAACAUUGACUUGUAUUAUAGUGUUCAAAGGAAGGGGCGAGGUUCCUGCAGCGGCAGUGGCCGGACCUGCAGUCGGUUCUAGUGAUGGACCAUUUCUGAGCUCCUGUAGACGAAAAAAUGUUCCAGAUGUAAUGAUAAAUCACUCAGUGAAGACAAUGAGGCCCUGUCUGGAAAACCACAGAAAUACACACACAGGCUAACAUACACAUCCACCCAGAAUGAUUUGGCAUCACACACUUAAACACAAGAUGUGCAGGCAGCUGCUGUUCAUCCUUCUAUUACAGUUUGUCAAAAAGGUUUUUUAAACAAAAACUACUAGUUAAAAGGAAAUACAUUGCAAAACAAGAGUACUUUUCUACACACACAUUUUCAUUUACACAAGGUAACAUCCCAAACAAGAAAAGCGCCUCCUCUUUUCUCACGUUUUAAAGCAAUACUAUAAUGUGUCAUCUCAAUGAUUGUGAUUGUGUUUUGUCAGUGUAAACAAAUAAAUAAAUAUUUACAAGCAUAAAACAAGUCGAGCAAACAAAACAAGCAGGGCAUAAAUAAUUUACAAAAAAAAGAGAGAAUCAUACAGACCUAGUAUAAACAUCUUAGACAUUCACUAAAAUGGCUUCUGCUGAACAAAAAACAAACAAAACAAAAACAUUCAGGUGAAAAAAAAAUCAAGCUUUUGUUAACAUUAGUGAGACAAUGUAAAAUGAAAGUUCUUAAAUUCUUAACUCAUUUGGAACAGGUAAAAAAACCACAAACGUCUAGGAGAUAUAGAAAGUAAAAACAGCAAAUUUGGCUUUUAAGUGGUUGAACACUUACUCCAUAAACAUGUAGACAUAUGCAAGUACAAGAGUUAUAACUAGAUAAUAUUUCUAAACGUCUCCACUCCCACUUGUCUUUUGCAGCGGGGAGACGUGUACAAGUCGUCAGGAGAACUGUAACCAAACAUCACCUCCAAUCCACUGGAUGAAGAAGUCACGGCAGGUAGUGAAGAUAGCAGACAGCAGAAGAAAUCACAAAACACUGGGAACCCAAGAUGAGCAUCUGCCUGACAGAAACCGAAGAAGACGGAAUCAGGAAGAUGAGCGACAGUAAAGAGCAAUAAGGCUCUGAGUUCCCUCCAAGAACAGAGUACAGAGCAGUAGAGAGGCUUAAGAGCAACAGAAUUUGUUAAAGGUGCGGUCCUCUGAUGUGGUGACAAGAAGGUUUUUAUUCCAAGGACAAAACUCAGCUGAUAUCAAAGGUCCCAGAUGCCCUGUCAAGGUA
Molecule: long non-coding RNA, 1687 nt
Organism: Cynoglossus semilaevis (tongue sole)
Lineage: Eukaryota; Metazoa; Chordata; Actinopteri; Pleuronectiformes; Cynoglossidae
Exons: 4
Source: RefSeq, a predicted model, not a curated record